GAUUUUGGAAGGCCCAAGUUAGGUGCCCACGCCACAUCCCUUACCCAAUCUGUAUGCAUUUGAAGAGCUGGAAAGCAGUCCAUCUUCCAAAUUCCAUUGUAGAGCUUCCACACUUUCACAGUAUUGUCACAACCACCUGAGCAAAGCUUCUGAACAGGGUCAAGCAAAGCAGAACCAACAAGAGCACCAGGUGCAGUUGAUGGGGCCCAAGAAACUGAAGUUACUCCAACUGGGUGAGCUUGAUCAAUUUUGGAUGUGUCCCAACCACCAUCUGCUCGUGCAGUAAAGACUGAUAUAUUUCCAUCUGAAGAGCCACAUGCCAAACAAAGACCAAUCUCAUGAGGUGCCCAAGCAAUAGAGUUAACAGAUGACUUGUGGUCAUCAAAUACAUGAGCUUGAGUCCACUCAUUUUGAUUGCCCUCCUUCCAUAUUAUGACACG
Molecule: unclassified non-coding RNA, 440 nt
Filed under: Hevea brasiliensis (rubber tree)
Lineage: Eukaryota; Viridiplantae; Streptophyta; Magnoliopsida; Malpighiales; Euphorbiaceae
Source: RNAcentral